RNAcentral lists this ribosomal RNA (504 nucleotides) under uncultured Rikenellaceae bacterium. Its description in RNAcentral is "bacterial SSU rRNA". It matches the Rfam family "Bacterial small subunit ribosomal RNA", at positions 903 to 1382 of the family's 1533-position model. The record is from RNAcentral. Lineage: Bacteria; Pseudomonadati; Bacteroidota; Bacteroidia; Bacteroidales; Rikenellaceae.
CGCCUUGCCAGCCCGCUCAGAACUUAAAUGAAUUGACGGGGGCCCGCACAAGCGGAGGAACAUGUGGUUUAAUUCGAUGAUACGCGAGGAACCUUACCUGGGCUAGAACGCAAUCGGAAUCAGGCCGAAAGGUCUGCGCCAGCGAUGGCCGGUUGCGAGGUGCUGCAUGGUUGUCGUCAGCUCGUGCCGUGAGGUGUCGGGUUAAGUCCCAUAACGAGCGCAACCCCUACUGCUAGUUGCCAGCGGGUCAUGCCGGGGACUCUAGCGGAACUGCCAGCGUAAGCUGCGAGGAAGGUGGGGAUGACGUCAAAUCAGCACGGCCCUUACGUCCAGGGCUACACACGUGUUACAAUGGCCAGUACAGAGGGCAGCCACCCCGUGAGGGGGCGCUAAUCCUAAAAGCUGGUCCCAGUUCGGAUCGGAGUCUGCAACCCGACUCCGUGAAGCUGGAUUCGCUAGUAAUCGCGCAUCAGCCACGGCGCGGUGAAUACGUUCCCGGGCCUU